GCCUUCCAGUUUCCUCGCCGCAAAGAUCGAAAUAUCGGUCUGAGUUUUUAUAAAAAGGAGGAAAAGUAAAACUGAAGUGGACUUGAAUUCUUUAACGACACACAAGUUCAUUUCAAACAUUU
RNAcentral lists this small nucleolar RNA (122 nucleotides) under Echinops telfairi (small Madagascar hedgehog). Its description in RNAcentral is "Small nucleolar RNA SNORA61 (ENSETEG00000026901.1)". The record is from RNAcentral. Lineage: Eukaryota; Metazoa; Chordata; Mammalia; Afrosoricida; Tenrecidae.